Molecule: transfer RNA, 67 nt
Filed under: Marmota monax (woodchuck)
Lineage: Eukaryota; Metazoa; Chordata; Mammalia; Rodentia; Sciuridae
Description: tRNA.Thr
Source: RNAcentral
GGUUGUGGGUCAGUGGUAGAGCGCUUGCCUUGUACAUGUGAGGCCUUGGGUUCAAUCCUCAGCACCA